CCAAUCUUUGGGUAUUAUGCCCUCCUUCCAAAUUCUGUUAAAGAAACCAAGCAAUGACUGAAGGGAGGAACUGGGUAGAUGUUGUAUCAUACUGUAAUGGAUACUAUCUGGGCCUACUGCCGUGUGUUUACAACUGGAUAGCACAGUUUCCAAUUCGUGCAUCGUGAACUCGCAGUUGUAUUCAGCCCUAUCCUUGGACGCUAAGAGUUUCUUUCGCUCGGAUUUUUCUUUGUGCCUUAUAAAAUUGUCUGAGUACCCAGCAGAACUUGACACUUCAGAAAAGUGUUUACCCAAAAGAUCUGCUUGAUCUUUUAGUGAAGUGCUGCAUGAAUUAUUUGCCGUAAGAAGUGGAACAGUGAAAGCCCGAUUUUCACCAUCCAUUUUUCGUAUUUUCUCCCAAACAGCUUUUGCAGGAGUCUGGCUGUUUAUACUUGUGACAUACUUCUGCCAUGAAGAUUUCCUAGCUUGCUUUCUAGUGUAUCUAGCUUUCGCUUUUGCCCUUUUGAAUGAUAUCAGAUUGUCCAGUGUUGGAUAGCGUUUGAAAACGUUCCACGCCUUGUUCUGAGCCUGCCGCGUUUUACGACAUUCCUCAUUCCACCAAGGCUUUGGCCGUAGUCUUACCGUCCCACUGGUUUGUGGGAUGGCUGUCAUAGCUGCGUCGAGGAUAACCUUUGUGAUAGUAUGGUUUUCUUGGUCUACCGGUAGGUGUUUUGUCAUGUCACGAUUGAUUAUGGCAUGCUCUCUGAAGGCUGGCCAGUUCGCCUCUGACAGCUUCCAUCGUGGAGGACGUACUUGUAGAGUUGGAGGACUCACUAUCGUCUCCAGAAGAACCGGAAAGUGAUCGCUGCCAUACGGAUUUUGGAUGGCAUUCCAGGUAUAGUCUAGCGACAGCCCUGGAGAUGCAAGUGAUAGAUCAAUACAAGAAAAGUUCCUGUGUGUUGAGCUGUAAUACGUUGGACUACCAUCAUUCAAGAAAGAAAUGUCUGUGGUGUCUAAAAGUUGUUCGAUUAAUUUCCCACGUGCAUCUGUUCGCUCACUGCCCCAGAGUUGGUGGUGAGCAUUACGAUCUCCCAAUAUAAGGAACGGUUUUGGCAGCUGUUUGACUAAAUUGACAAGAUCACAAAAUGUAGGAUGGCUAUUUGGUGCCAUGUACAGGAAUACAACAGUGGUUAGAGUCUUGAGCUGCGCCCUAACAGCUACAGCUUCUAGGGGAGUGUUUAGUUUUACCUCUUCGACGAUUACACCAGAGUUCGCUCUUAUAGCUACACCUCCUCCAGCGUUGUUGUCCCUGUACUUGCGGAAGGUUGUGUAAUGUUUGAACAGUGUUGUUUGUCUUUUACUCAGCAUUGUUUCUUGCAAGGAGAACAAAUGCGGUCGAUGUCUGUCUAAUAAGUAGCAGAUAUCAUCAUAGUUAUGUAUGGCAUCACGACAGUUCCACUGUAGAAUGGAAACAGUCAUCAUACAUGAAAGUAAGAGAUGUUUAAAUCUGAAGGUUCUGUUUUGCAUGUUAUGUUGAACUGUCUUUUUUGGGUCCUGUAAUUCGUGGUUUCCUUCCUUUUUCAGGUAUUUGUCGUGGUUCUUUCGGUGUCAAAGUUAUGUUAGAGUUAUGUUGUGUGCCUGUGUGCCCAGACGUGCUAGGACUUGUCUCCAUAGCCUCCUCCGUUGGCACACAACCGAAGGGGGAUCGAUCAGGCGGGUUUCCUGGUCGCUGUGAUUCUCUGGCUGGCGCGGAAUAUGUCCGCGCCUGGGGGGCAACUGGUGUCCCACUGGACUCUCGGGGAGUCACUGUGGGUGGUGUACUCAGGCCUGCUGUUGCCCCCUGGCGCACAGCCUGAGCAUAAGGGGUACUCUUGAAGAAGGAUACCCUUCUUCGAGCUUCAGGGAAAGAAAUGUUCUCUUUGAUUUUCAGUGUUACAAUCUCCUUCUCAAGUUUCCACUGCGGGCAAGAGCGUGUCAUUACUGUGAUCUGAUUCGGAACAUUUCGCACAUGUCAGCUUCCCACGGCAUACCUGUGAACUGUGUCCGAAACGCUGGCAGUGGAAACAUCGUCUCGGAUUUGUGCCAGCGGGACGAUGAAUGCUGCAGUAACUAUUGCGACUACUACAUCCUCUCCAUGCAAAAUAAGAUUUGUCACUAAUGAC
Molecule: long non-coding RNA, 2141 nt
Organism: Ornithodoros turicata
Lineage: Eukaryota; Metazoa; Arthropoda; Arachnida; Ixodida; Argasidae
Exons: 3
Source: RefSeq, a predicted model, not a curated record